AGAGUUUGAUUAUGGCUCAGAUUGAACGCUGGCGGCAGGCUUAACACAUGCAAGUCGAGCGGAAACGAUGAAAGCUUGCUUUCAGGCGUCGAGCGGCGGACGGGUGAGUAAUGCAUAGGAAUCUACCUAGUAGUGGGGGAUAACGUUCGGAAACGGGCGCUAAUACCGCAUAAUUCCCACGGGGGAAAGCAGGGGCUCUUCGGACCUUGCGCUAUUAGAUGAGCUUAUGUCGGAUUAGCUAGUUGGUUGGGUAAUGGCCUACCAAGGCGACGAUCCGUAGCUGGUUUGAGAGGAUGAUCAGCCACACUGGGACUGAGACACGGCCCGGACUCCUACGGGAGGCAGCAGUGGGGAAUAUUGGACAAUGGGGGCAACCCUGAUCCAGCCAUGCCGCGUGUGUGAAGAAGGCCCUAGGGUUGUAAAGCACUUUCAUUGAGGAGGAAGGCCACUUGAUUAAUACUCAAGUGGAUUGACGUUACUCAAAGAAGAAGGACCGGCUAACUCCGUGCCAGCAGCCGCGGUAAUACGGAGGGUCCAAGCGUUAAUCGGAAUUACUGGGCGUAAAGCGCGCGUAGGCGGUUAGUUUAGCGAGAUGUGAAAUACCUGGGCUCAACCUGGGAAUUGCGUUUCGAACUGGCUAACUAGAGUGCAGUAGAGGGUGGUGGAAUUUCCAGUGUAGCGGUGAAAUGCGUAGAGAUUGGAAGGAACAUCAGUGGCGAAGGCGACCACCUGGACUGACACUGACGCUGAGGUGCGAAAGCGUGGGUAGCAAACAGGAUUAGAUACCCUGGUAGUCCACGCCGUAAACUAUGUCUACUAGUUGUUGGGGGUCUUGUACCUUUAGUAACGCAGCUAACGCAUUAAGUAGACCGCCUGGGGAGUACGGCCGCAAGGUUAAAACUCAAAUGAAUUGACGGGGGCCCGCACAAGCGGUGGAGCAUGUGGUUUAAUUCGAAGCAACGCGAAGAACCUUACCUACUCUUGACAUCCAGUGAACUUAGCAGAGAUGCUUUGGUGCCUUCGGGAACACUGAGACAGGUGCUGCAUGGCUGUCGUCAGCUCGUGUUGUGAAAUGUCGGGUUAAGUCCCGUAACGAGCGCAACCCCUGUCCUUAGUUGCCAUCAUUCAGUUGGGCACUCUAAGGAGACUGCCGGUGACAAACCGGAGGAAGGCGGGGACGACGUCAAGUCAUCAUGGCCCUUACGAGUAGGGCUACACACGUGCUACAAUGGCCAGUACAGAGGGUUGCCAAGCCGCAAGGUGGAGCUAAUCUCGCAAAACUGGUCGUAGUCCGGAUUGGAGUCUGCAACUCGACUCCAUGAAGUCGGAAUCGCUAGUAAUCGUGGAUCAGAAUGCCACGGUGAAUACGUUCCCGGGCCUUGUACACACCGCCCGUCACACCAUGGAAGUGGGUUGCACCAGAAGUAGCUAGUCUAACUUUCGAGAAGACGGUUACCACGGUGUGAUUCAUGACUGGGGUGAAGUCGUAACAAGGUAACC
Molecule: ribosomal RNA, 1500 nt
Filed under: uncultured bacterium
Lineage: Bacteria
Description: bacterial SSU rRNA
Rfam family: Bacterial small subunit ribosomal RNA
Source: RNAcentral